RNAcentral lists this long non-coding RNA (2892 nucleotides) under Leptinotarsa decemlineata (Colorado potato beetle). RNAcentral describes it as "uncharacterized LOC111509991". The record is from RNAcentral. Lineage: Eukaryota; Metazoa; Arthropoda; Insecta; Coleoptera; Chrysomelidae.
CUGAAAAGCUUGUUAGAAAUGCGGAAAUAAAAAUCAUGUCGCCGAGUGGUUUGAAGAAUUUUUGUUCAAAUGAUCUCGAAUCAGCAUUUGUCCGUUUAUCACUGUCAUUACCUGUAUCACCUCUGCCUACGCCUACUUCACCUGAAGAUAGAAACAAUGGUGAGCGUACAGGUGGGCUGAAGAGACUACGGUCUGAGGACGAUAUUGUGACUUCAGAAGAAAAGAAAACAAAGUGCGAUGAAUCAGGAAUAGAGAAUGAGAAAAAAAAAUCCCCUAUCAUUAACUACAACAUUUGCAGCAUAGCAAAAAGACAUUUAUUCGGAAGAAAAACUGUGAAUAAUGUGAAGAAUGAGGACAGCCCCCCCUUUUAUGGGUUUGAAAGAGAUUGUGAGGUGAAAAAAUUAGAAGUUACCAAUAAUAUAAGGAAAAACGGAACAGUUCACGAAAUGGAAGACAGUGCCACGAGAAAGUUGUUACAGGAAAAAGCAGACUUGGAGUUUGCUAAAAAGUUGCAAGAGGAAUUGAAUAGGGGUGUGCACAAUACAAGGAGUAGUCGUAAUGUGGGUAGAUCGAAAAGGCAGACUACUCUCGAUGAAAUGAUCAAAAGUCCAUAUAGGGUUAAGUAACUUUCAAAUUGAUAUGAAGUUUAUAUUGUUGCGAUAUUUAUGUUACGGUUUUUAGUCACAGAAACAUUGUUUAUUUCAAAUAUUAUGGAUAACUUCCGUUUUGUAUUUAUGUAUGAUAGAGGUAAGUUGCUUUUUAACAUGUUUGUGAUGUUGGAAACUCAAGUUACUCGCGAAGAAAUCGGACUGAAUGUAUGUACAUCAGAUAUGCAAUAACUUCGGAUAUGGAAGGGUAUCCAAAUAAAUUUUAGUUUCGGCUGGAUGUUUUUGGGAAUAGUUUGAUUCUCUUUGAACGAUCAUAAAAUUGGCUGUUACAAAGAAUGGUAUCUGAGGAGCAAUUAGCCUUGAAAAAAAAUGAAUUAUUCAUUUGAAUUACCCAAUCUCAGGGAUCAAGAAUACUCAAUGAUAGUGGUUUCUAUCCUAUCAUUCAUCUCUCGAAGGGCAAUUUCAAUCUACAGGUUGCUAUCUUUGUUCUUGCAACAUUCUCAUCUCGAGCACUACUGGUUUACUGUUCCUAAAUUUAGAUUCAUGGCAAUAUUUGUAGAAUCAUUCAACAGCAACUCUGAUUCUCAAGACCUAAAAUUUCACCAGUUUCAACUCCCAUUAAAACCAGUCUGCUGAUAUUAAAUGAGUGUAUAUUUCUUUAGAAUCUGAAAAUCAUUGGAUAUCAAUAAUCAUAGUCCAUAUUCAAUGAUUCUUCAUCAGUAAAUCAUUCUCUGGGACGUAAAAUGUUAUCAUCUAAGAAGGGGUUCAUUUUGAACAACUGCUUUUUGGCAAAAUCUUUCCUAUUUUCAAACGGAGACAUAUUUUGAGGCUCGUUAUAUUGUGUAAAUGUAAAACCCUUGCAUAGUUCCACACCAUUUGGAAAAUCGAUUUCUAUUGGAUAGAGUGACAAACUGUUACUUCCACUAACAAGAAUCAUUUGUACCCUCAAAAUUGGACUGGAUUCCGGGUGAACUCUCAUUUUCAACUUCUCAUUUGCAGUAUUUUCGAUAUAUUGCAUAACGAUUUAUUCAAAUUCUUGAGUGAUUUUUUAGUCUCAGUGACAGUUUGAAAAUAUUUGUCAUUUUUAUGAUUGAUGCAAACAUGAAUCUAAUCAAAUUAAAUUUGGCGUCAGCUGUAGGAAUUCGAUUUAUGAAAGUACUUUAUAUAAACAUUCCUAUGGCUAGGAUCAACUUUGAAACAGUUUAUAAGUGGUGUGAAUGAUAUUUCCAUUGUGCAAAUUUACCAUGUUUUCGAUUUGCCAUCAUCACUGAAUGUUAUUGUUUCCAAGAGUGUCUAGUAUUCACAAAGCAUUCCAAGAAAUUCUACUGGUUAAUGGAAAAUUGAAUAUUUUCAUGGACGUUCUGUAUAUUCACCUCCCACAGUCUGAAAAAUAUGAGAAUUGUAAUGGAGAACUUCACACAAGUGUAGAAAGGGUAAAAGAAGGUCGAUAAAAUUUGAUUUUCCUCCACAAAAAUGACUUUCGUUCAGUAAAAAUAAAUAACAACGAUCCAGUUUGAGAUGAGAAUCACUAGUCUUCAAUUAAAUUUUUGUGUGAUUUCCCUGGAAAGACAUCAGUUCAAUUUCCUUUGAAUUGAUUACUUCAGUUCUAUAAAUUGUUCGACAAUAUAAAAACAUUUGUAUCAUGAUUAUUAAAAAUUUUCACAGUAUAAACUUUAUUUCAAUAUGUGUUUCAACUCAUAGUAGAUUCCUCAGUUGGAUGGCUACCAGCGUAGUGAAACAUAUAUAUGGAAUUCUAUUCUGAAGAUUUGGAACUAUUAUUAUGAAUAGUGUUAUUUUCACCAAGUAAUGGGCCAGUGUGUUCAAAAAUUAUGAAAAGCGAAUCAAAAACGAAAUAUUCAGUUAUUUAAUGAAAUAUCCACAUUAAAUGAAAGUUAAGUACUUUAUUUACCAUUGAGUCAAGGUAUUUACUCUUUUUUAAAGGGACAUAAUUUUUUAGUUUCCAAUCUAGCUGUAAGUACAUCCAGUUCGUCUAUUUCAGCUCUGCCAUAAAACAACAUAACUUUUUGGAGUAUUUUGUGUGUAAGAAUGAAUAUUUUCAGUUUACGUUUUCAGAUGGAAUACCCAUUGAUUUGUUUUAAAAUCGAUUAUGUCGUCUGUCCAGUCUUUUGAUAUUGAAUCGAAAUAAUUCUUGAAACUGCAAGUUUCAAUUAGAAAUUGGUUAUAUUUGAGUUCUUUCAGAAUUGUUAUUUUAUUUUAUUACAGAUAUCUUACUGUGAUAUCACAGCAGUUGUUUUAUUUUUUGAAUAAAAGUCCGAGAAAUCAA